This 364-nucleotide long non-coding RNA is filed under the name Phoenix dactylifera (date palm). Its description in RNAcentral is "long non-coding RNA (PDAC_LNC001185)". The record is from RNAcentral. Lineage: Eukaryota; Viridiplantae; Streptophyta; Magnoliopsida; Arecales; Arecaceae.
UGAGGUGGGGGGAAACAGGUUUGAUAAGGUGGGUGUUUUAUGUCCCCAAUGAUGAAGAGGCCGCAAGGGCUUUGGUCCCUUCACAUCAACCCACGUGCCCAACCAUGCAUAAGUUAAGUACGUUUCCAAAUUUCAACUACUUUGUCCAUCUUUCACAUCUAGAUUACUUAGAACUAGAAGAGACCACUCGUAGAAAACAUAUCCAUUUAGUUCUGAUAUCCAAGUUAUUUCACAUUAUUAUAGCAUGGUUCUUAGCGAAAUAUUGUAAUAUUAUAUAGAGGUGGUUCACCUCUAUGUGAUCUCUAAUCGCAGUAGUUGUCCAUGAGAUGGUGCAUUUCUUUUCUGAUCAAUUUAUAUUCAAAUA